This 427-nucleotide ribosomal RNA is filed under the name uncultured bacterium. Its description in RNAcentral is "partial 16S ribosomal RNA". It matches the Rfam family "Bacterial small subunit ribosomal RNA", at positions 354 to 796 of the family's 1533-position model. The record is from RNAcentral.
GUGGGGAAUAUUGGGCAAUGGGGGCAACCCUGACCCAGCGACGCCGCGUGGGUGAAGAAAUCCCUCGGGAUGUAAAGCCCUGUUGUAUGGGAAGAGCAGAAGACGGUACCAUACGAGGAAGCCCCGGCAAACUACGUGCCAGCAGCCGCGGUAAUACGUAGGGGGCAAGCGUUGUCCGGAAUUACUGGGCGUAAAGCGCACGCAGGCUGAAUUAUAAGUCGGUAGUCAAAUACGGAGGCUCAACUUCCGGAUAUCUAUCGAUACUGUAAAUCUAGAGUAUGUGAGAGGGAAGCGGAAUUCCCGGUGUAGCGGUGAAAUGCGUAGAUAUCGGGAGGAGCACCAGUGGCGAAGGCGGCUUCCUGGCACAAUACUGACGCUCAUGUGCGAAAGCUAGGGCAGCGAACGGGAUUAGAAGCCCCAGUGGUCC